GAGGGUGCGAGCGUUAAUCGGAAUUACUGGGCGUAAAGCGCGCGUAGGCGGUUUGUUGAGUCAGCUGUGAAAGCCCCGGGCUCAACCUGGGAACUGCAGUUGAUACUGGCCGACUAGAGUACGAGAGAGGGAGGUAGAAUUCCAUGUGUAGCGGUGAAAUGCGUAGAUAUAUGGAGGAAUACCAGUGGCGAAGGCGGCCUCCUGGCUCGAUACUGACGCUGAGGUGCGAAAGCGUGGGGAUCAAACAGGAUUAGAUACCCUGGUAGUCCACGCCGUAAACGAUGUCUACUAGCCGUUGGGAGACUAGAUUUCUUAGUGGCGCAGCUAACGCAAUAAGUAGACCGCCUGGGGAGUACGGCCGCAAGGUUAAAACUCAAAUGAAUUGACGGGGGCCCGCACAAGCGGUGGAGCAUGUGGUUUAAUUCGAUGCAACGCGAAGAACCUUACCAGGUCUUGACAUCCUGCGAAUUUUCUAGAGAUAGAUUAGUGCCUUCGGGAACGCAGUGACAGGUGCUGCAUGGCUGUCGUCAGCUCGUGUCGUGAGAUGUUGGGUUAAGUCCCGUAACGAGCGCAACCCUUGUCCUUAGUUGCCAGCACAUAAUGGUGGGAACUCUAAGGAGACUGCCGGUGACAAACCGGAGGAAGGUGGGGACGACGUCAAGUCAUCAUGGCCCUUACGACCUGGGCUACACACGUGCUACAAUGGAACGCACAGAGGGCUGCAAAGGCGCGAGCUGGAGCGAAUCCCACAAAACGUUUCGUAGUCCGGAUUGGAGUCUGCAACUCGACUCCAUGAAGUCGGAAUCGCUAGUAAUCGUGAAUCAGAAUGUCACGGUGAAUACGUUCCCGGGCCUUGUACACACCGCCCGUCACACCAUGGGAGUGGGCUGCAAAAGAAGUGGGUAGACUAACCUUCGGGAGGUCGCUCACCACUUUGUGAUUCAUGACUGGGGUGAAGUCGUAACAAGGUAGCCCUAGGGGAACCUGGGGCUGGAUCACCUCCUUAAACGAUGUUGGCGCUACCUAAUGAGUGCUCACACAUUUGUCUUCAUCUAAUUCGGUUGAUGCGACGGUACCGCCAGCUCGUCUGCGAGCGUAUUUUUUGCAGGCCUGUAGCUCAGUUGGUUAGAGCGCACCCCUGAUAAGGGUGAGGUCGGCAGUUCAAAUCUGCCCAGGCCUACCAAACACGGUUUGGUUUACUUGGUAGACUUUGAGAUUGCUGGAAAGACUCCGGGGCUAUAGCUCAGCUGGGAGAGCGCCUGCCUUGCACGCAGGAGGUCAGCGGUUCGAUCCCGCUUAGCUCCACCAUCUUAUCCAAAGUGGGUAUAUUGCAUCAACGAGAUCAGAAAGAAGUCUGUUUCUACAAGCAGGCUUCUUUCUGGUUUUAACAGCCGGAAUGUUCUUUAACAAGGUAGAUUAAGCUGAAUCUUUGAGCUGACAUAAAGCACUUUGGUGAGUUAUGCGGUUCAUUGAUAAAUUGUUCUGUGAUGAUGGGUUUCAAUUCCCUGUUGUCACAACGAGUUGUAAUAAACACUGUGACUUAAGCGUCACAAACAUCCGGCGGGUGUGCACUUUGAUCGGUGUACAUCUACUAGUACCUGGCCUGUGUUAAGGGGGUCGGGGAACUGUUUUCUUGGGAUGUCUUUUGUUGUUUGAAAGGCAUGAUCUCUUGUAGUUUGAGAGAAACAGAUAACUUCGGUUAUAUGGUCAAGUGACUAAGCGUAUACGGUGGAUGCCUUGGCAGUCAGAGGCGAUGAAGGACGUUGUAGCCUGCGAAAAGCUUCGGGGAGUCGGCAAACAGACUUUGAUCCGGAGAUGU
RNAcentral lists this small RNA (1819 nucleotides) under uncultured Arctic sea ice bacterium. Its description in RNAcentral is "bacterial SSU rRNA". The stretch from base 1 to 1006 matches the Rfam family "Bacterial small subunit ribosomal RNA", at positions 528 to 1533 of the family's 1533-position model. The record is from RNAcentral.